UCAUUUUAUUUUUAGAUACUUAAUAAUAAAUCCACAAUAUUAUUCACACGGCAAUUAAAUUAAUACUCUAAAUAAAGUUUUAAAUUGACAAAAAAUAAUUAAAAUAACACCUUAAUAUUUACGUAAAUGGUGUCCUUAAACCCAAUUAAGCGUAUUAUGAUUGGUAAAAUAAUUUUACAAACUUAAUAUAAAUAAUAAAAUUAUUUUUUAGUGACAAGUGUUUCAAUAAUGAAGAUUUAAUAAAUUUAAGUUGUCAAAAAUAUUUAAAAGUGACAGUGCGCGUACUUAAAAUCGUUUUUAUAAAAACAAAUACCGAUAAUUAGGCUCCUCCUCGUCGUAACUGUCAUUAAUAGUGUUUUCUUCUUUUAAAUUUGUUUAUUAUUAAAUAAAAUCUCUUCACAACGACGACUAAAAAUAUUAUAUCAAGAACAAUAACAAAAACAACUAUCACAACAAUAAUAACAAUGAAAUAAUAAUAAUAAUUAUUAUAAAUAAAUAAAUAAAAGCAUAUUUAACAAUAAGUUGGGAAAAAUCCUUGACAAGUCCGUCCUGCUGCCGCUGCCACGGUAAAGCUCAGCUAGAUUUUACCUUCGGUCGUCGCGCGGUCGUUAUAUCGAUUGCUUUAGAAAUAGACGCGUGCGAAACACCUGCUCGUGACUCGCACACCGUUGGCCAAGCCACUACGACGACAGGUGUACUACCUUGCUGCUACCACCUUCGGCUGUUACCAUCACAGACAGCUUAUAUAUUAAUAAUAAUAUUGUAAAGACUAUUUUUUAUGUGAAUAAUUUAUUUUAUUGGACUUUUUGGUUAACUGAAGAAAGUUUGAUAAGAAAUAUUGAAGAACAAUUCAAAGAUUGAAGAAGAAAUAAAAAUAUUUUAAGUAUUUUAAAAUAAAAAAUAAUUUAAAAAAAAAGCUGACGACGACGAGGAGGAGUGCGAUAAAAAAUAUCGCGUGCGCGUUUUUAGUUUAUUAUUUUUUUGUUGGGUGGGGAGAUUAUUGGUGCGAAUACAGUUCUGGAGGCGCCUGUCGUCUUCGUUGCCGGUACAACCAUAACGCCGCCCGCCCUAAAACGCCCGAGACGGGAAACGGUGGACUCAUCCCCGCCACCCGCUCCUCGUAUCACCGUCGCAACCGCUGGUUCAACCUGCGGUGGUAAUCCUGCUGGAUCAUCUAACGACUUAUCCUGCAUCAUGGACGCCCCACUGUCACAGAGCAUGGACUCAGUCAACACUGUGGCGUGCUCAAAUGGCGAGGAUGAGGUUCGUACCUUGUUUGUGAGCGGUUUGCCGAUGGACGCCAAACCAAGAGAACUUUACCUUCUCUUUAGAGCAUAUGAGGGUUAUGAAAACUCUCUGCUUAAAGUUACAAGCAAAAAUGGUAAAACAGCAUCGCCGGUGGGUUUUGUAACAUUUCACACUAGGGCAGGUGCGGAAGCAGCUAAACAAGACCUACAGCAGGGGGUUAAAUUUGAUCCUGAUAUGCCACAAACCAUACGUUUGGAAUUUGCAAAAAGUAACACAAAGGUUAGCAAACCCAAGCAACCAGCCGCUGCAGCAGCCACCUCGCACCCCGCUCUGAUGCACCCUCUAACCGGACACAUAGGAAAUCCAUUUUUCCCAAGCGGACCAGAAUUAUGGCAUCAUCCAUUAGCGUACUCAGCUGCGGGUGAACUUCAAGGAACACUUCAACAUGCAACACUUGUUCAUCCAGCAUUACAUCCGCAGGUCCCUGCUCCGAUGUCUUUACCCCACCCAACGACAUUGACGUCAAUACACGCAUCUUUACCACACUUUUUACCAUCACCAGCUCUAGCUUCUCCAGUUGGCUCAUCAUCAUCUCAACCGAGUAUAGCUGUUAGUAAUGCUCCAUGCUCAACUCUCUUUGUUGCAAAUCUUGGACAAUUCGUUUCUGAGCACGAAUUAACCGAGAUCUUUAAUAGUUUUUCUGGUUUCUGUCGGCUUCGUAUGCACACAAAGGGCGGCUCACCUGUGGCCUUUGUCGAAUUUCAAGACGUUCGCUAUGCAGCUCAAGCGAUGGGCGCCCUCCAAGGAUCCUUACUCCUCUCCUCUGACCGGGGACCGAUACGAAUUGAAUAUGCCAAGUCAAAAAUGGCCGAGGUGGGCUUUACAAACCUCUGGAUCGAAGGAUCCAAGGGAGAAAAAAAUGGGCAACCUUAAAAUUGACAUUAAUGGAAUGUGAAGAAUAAAGAGAUUUUUUGGAGCUGAGUAAGGCCACUGAAGAAAUGUAAAGGUAAAAUCUAAAUUGGUGUCUCGUAAAUCAAAGUCGAUUGAAUUCUGUUACUACAGCGCUUAUAGGAAAUUUACAAUUUUUUAACUCUUGUUACGAGAUGUGUGCUAUACGUCUAAAGCUUGGGUGAUAAUUCUUCUUUUUUUAAUUAAUUAAUUGUUUAUUAUCUGCUUAACUGAAACGAUCAAUAAUUAAUUUUAUGCACAUCAAUUUACGUAGAAAAAAAUUUGUUAUUUAAUUAUUUAUUAUUUUCCUAAUUACAGGAAUUUUAUUAAAGCUUUUAGGCGAAAUUGUUAAAUUGUUAACUUCUAGGUAAUUAUUAUUACUUAUAAGAUUAUCAUUAUUAUUAUUAUUAUAUUAAAAAAUAAACCACAACUAUGAUUAUAAAUUAUAAUAAUCAAGCUUGGUUUAAAGAAAAUUUUAUUAAAAAAAUUUCUAUUAUUUCUUCACAAAAAAAUAAAUUUUUUUCAACUAUUUUAAAUGAAUUUUUUUUUACAUAAUAAUAAUAAUGAUAGUCAAAUGAUUCGAAUUAAAUGCUAUUUAAAAGUAUAUGUAUUGUUGCAACUAUAAUUGGGCAUGAAUGAAGUAUAAGUCACAAAAGACUAUUUGAAAAAAAAAUCAUGGAAGUAACAAAAAAAAAAAAAAAAAAAAAAAGAAGAAGAAAUGAAAAAUCUAGCUCUAAGUAAAAAAUCCUUUUACGAACAUCAAGUUUAAUACCAAAGGUGCCCUAAAAAACGUGUAAUUAUGUUUUUUAUCAGCAAAUAUCGUGUUUGACGCGAGGAUAGCUGGCUAUUAUAAAAUUGAAUUUGACAGUGUGUACAUGCGUACGUGAGAAUAAGAAUGAUUAAAGUGAAAAAAAAAAAAAAAAAUCACAAUAACGAAUCAACACUUAAAUGGUGUAUAAAUAAUAAAUUCUCUUAGUAAUGAUAAUGAUAAUGAUAAUGGUGAAAGUAUUGACUCGUUAAUUAUAAAUUAUAUGAAUGAAAACAUAUCAAUAGAAAUUAAGAAGAAAUAUUUAUCAAAGAUAUACGAUAAAUAUUGAUAUAAAGAAGAAAAAAAAAAUGAGUAUGGUAAAACAGCGAAACCAAAAAAUAAUAAAACAUUAAUACUUGAUGGAUAAAUAAAACUAGUGUAUAACUUACAACGUCUGUGUAUUUGUAAUAAAGUAGCAAAGGUGUGCCCCGUGUGCUAGAACGGCCAACUCGGCACGUAAUUUGCCCAAGUGCCUUCCCGUUGGUCGAGUCAUGCUAACUGUACUGUAAGUCACGUCCCGUGUAAUCGUCAAACGCCGUCGCUUGAACCGAAUUAUUCCGACCUCAAUUUUUUCUUAUAUUACUAACUCUUUCUUUUUUUUUUUAUUCAUUUUAUUCCGUUGUAAUUUUUUUAUUUCUUCUUGUCUAGUGUAAUAUUUCUGAUAUAUUUACUUCAAAUUUUUAAUAAUUGUUCACUUAUCGAACCUCUUUUUUAAAAUUUAUUUUAAUUAAUAUAACUGGGCAUUUAUGUAUAUUCUAAUUGUACUAGACAUAUCAGUAAUUAAAGUAUUACAAACGGGAGUGAAAAA
This 3812-nucleotide unclassified non-coding RNA is filed under the name Cotesia glomerata. Its description in RNAcentral is "protein couch potato-like, transcript variant X2". Lineage: Eukaryota; Metazoa; Arthropoda; Insecta; Hymenoptera; Braconidae. The record is from RNAcentral.